RNAcentral lists this long non-coding RNA (38556 nucleotides) under Zea mays. RNAcentral describes it as "long non-coding RNA (ZMAY_LNC001976)". Lineage: Eukaryota; Viridiplantae; Streptophyta; Magnoliopsida; Poales; Poaceae. The record is from RNAcentral.
CAGCCUCUGAAGCCUGCUCCUGGUCCUCCUCUUGGACACGUCCUUGCUCGGGGAUGAGCACGUACUCUCCGUCGGCAAGAUUACAAUCUAAUAAAUGCAAUGCGUAAAAUAUAUGCAUGAUAUGAAAUGUGCUUUUAGAAAUCACAACUUUAAAGGUGCAUGAUUUUUUUUCUUGAGUUAAAUAAGGUUAACUUUACUUAUGUAAGUCUCUUGUGUGGUAUACUUGGUAAAUUGGUUUAAACUUAGCUAAGGUAAGUAGAUUAAAUUUUGGGGUUCCACUAAGUUCCUUUUAAGUCUUAGUGAGAAUUGAUAAGUACUCAAGUUAGACUUAUGGGGAUGGGGUUUGUUUCUUCUUUCCUUUUCUUUUAUUCUCUUUAAUGUUUUGGAGUAGGUUUGAACUACAAGUUGCUUUUAUAAAAUUCUAAAAACUCUGCAAAAAUUACAGUGGCUUGUUACUGGUGUAUGUUUCUCUGUCUCAAAAUUUGGGGAUCAGAAAGUGAAUAGUUUUCUCUGGACAAAAUUAUUAAAUUCUAGGGCAGAAGGGGUGCUUUGAACUACAACUAUUAUUUAACAGUGAGUAAUUCUCUAAAACUCAUUUUUGCUGGCUUUUAGGUGUUAUAACAUGACUUGAUACAAAUUUCUAAUCAUUAAUACCUUUUAAUUAUUUUUCUAUGGUUUUCUCAAGUUUCUAGCCAAAUGGGUGCUUUCUACUACCACUAUACUUGAAAAACAUCAAACAACAGAGUUCUUAUUUUUCUUGGUUAUUAUUUUGUGCAAGAGCAAUCAUUCUGAGGUUUGGCCUCUUUUUGCUUAAGGGAAGGGGUGGUAUGCAUUAUUUGAAUUAAGUGGCCUUUCUCAUAAAAUACUAGCAAUAGGUAAGAGUUUGCUUCUUUUGCAUGGGUUUGCAUUUUUCUCUGGUGGUUUAUCUCAUUAUGGACUUAGCUAAUUUUUGGUUGCCCAUUAUCACAUUAUUAGGGGUUGUUCAUGAUUUAUUUGGAAAAUGCCUUAUUAUCACUUUAUAUUUAUUUUCCUUACUUAAAAAGUUGGGCUGAGGUGCUCUUUAUUUUUGUAGUGGGGCUCUGGUGGUUGUAAGUCCACUGGAUUUUUAUUAAUCAUUUUGGUUAUAGUUUUGCUACUCUAAUAAUUGAUUCUCAGUCCAAAUAAGGCUAAAUAAAUCAUUUUAAUUUAAAACUGGUCCAAAUUAAUGGUCUCUGUAUUUUUCCUAGGUUCUCUGUUACAUAAGUAAACUAGGAAAAAUAAUCUUAAUCACUGUUCAUUAAUUUCUAAUGCCUUUCUGAUUUUCUCUAAGUUUUGGACAAAAUAGCUUUAAAUGAAUAACUACAUCAUAAUUUUUAAUGCUGGGGUUCCUACUAUUUUUAAACAAUGUCUAAAUGAGGUUUGAACACCUACAAAUUUUCUUAAAUUCAGCACAGAAGAAAAACUAAUUUUACUUAAUUAAACAAGGUUUGGUGGGUUUCUGUUUUUAAUUUAAAACUCUAAAAAUUAGAACAGAAAGCAUAGGGUUUACUAUUUUUAAAUGACAGUUCAUAAUUUUCAGGAGCUAGCAAAAUUGGUUUGACAACCUUUUAUGAAGAAUUCAUCAAGUUAUGGGUUUUCUAAGUUCUCUGGUCAUUUAAAAAGAUUUAACAGAAUUGAUUUAAUGGAAAUCCACUUUGCACUGGGGUCCUUGGCGGGUUUUUAAGUUUUCCUCGCGAAUCAGUCCUUAAGCUACUAUUCACAUGAGUCACUGACGUUACAGAAAACCCCUCGGGUUCUACAAAUCCUAACCUGAGGUCCUUCUUCUACCUUAAACAGUAACCGCGGCGGAAGAAAGGGCGGAGGGGCUUACCGGCGGCGAGAUGGCUCCGGUGAAGUGGUCGAGGACGUAGGGGAGGUCUCGGGGAUCACAACGGUGUGUGGGUCGCCGUCGGGGAUGGCCGGAGUCGGUCGGUCCACGCGCGCAGGCGAGGAUGCUCGUCGGCGGCGAGGAGUCCGGCCAGGUCACAGCGAGAUAGAGUAAUUGGAUGGGUCAGAGAGGUUCACGGGGUGCCAGAGAAGACAUGAGCGCAAGGAAUUGGGCGGAGACUCACUGGAUAGCUCGGUCCACGCGCGGCGGCGGAAGACCGAAGUCCGGUGAGGUCGAUCUCGGGCCUCCGGUGAAGUCCGGCCGGGUCCGAGGGCUUGGCAAGCUUCACGGGCUACUGGCGGAGCUAGCCGAAGCACUGGCUUGCCCAGAGGAUGGCUGGAGUGGGCUGGCCAGGAUGGCCGAAGCUCUGGCGGCAAUGGCGGGCGGAAUUGAGCUCGCCGGAGCUAAAGGAAAGUGGCUGGCCGGUGAGGGUGAGUGCGAGGCGAAGUGGGGCGCGCCUGGGAAGGCUUUAUAGGCACGGCGCGGUGCACGGGCGGUCGUGGACCGGCGAGCGCGCGCGGGCGUGCACUGGGAGGCGCGGUGCGCGAACGGGCGUGAACCGGGGGUGUCACCCACGGUCGAACACGUGUUCCCGUUGCCUCUGCCCCUGUUCAAGCGCCGAUUGGGAGCAAAUCUUCGCGAAUUUGGGCAAGAUCGCUGUGAAGGAUUUGUUCACCUGACCAAGCUUUGUCUUUUGUGUAUGGACGUUGCGCGGUUUUAGGCUAGGGACAGGGAGUUGUAGCGUCACCAAGGUGCCAGUGUCAGAAUGCCUGGUCCCGAGGUCAAACUGCGCCAAAACCGUGUCAAAUGAAUUUGGUUUGAGUUCAAACUUUUCCAGGAUGUGUUCAAGGGAAUUUGGCACAACUUUGAUAUUUGGAUCUCCUGGCUUUGAGUUUUGAAAAACAGAGAACGCAGAUGAUCUUUGGGAAGAGGUCUGAAAUUCAGAAAUCUGAAUUUCUCCAAGGGUCCAUAGUUCAAGGGCUGAUUUGGGGAUUUAUUUGAGUUAUUUUGGCUAAGCUUUCUCAAUCUUUCUUGUUGCUCAUUAAACAUACUUUAAUUUUUAUAAAUGGCUCAAGUUAUAAUUUUAAACUUUUCAUACCCUUUUUCUUAUUUUCUUUAAUUUUUGCUCAUGGGGCUCACUUAGGGUUUCUAUUAGGGUUGCACAUUCUUACCUUUUUAAAAGACUCAAUUGUUUUGAUCAUGAUACUUUUAAGUAUAUACUUGGUGAAUUCUUUAUUUCUUAAGUUAAUUUGAUGCUCAUGCUUACUUUGAUUCACAUGAAAUAAUGGUUCUUGGGUUGGUAUUUGAGAGAAACCUUAGGUGAUACUGGGGUGUCACAUCAGGCUACUGGGAACAAGACCGGCGUCCCAUCUGGCUCGCCCCGGUAAACAAAUAAUGAUGGCGCCCCGCAUGCUCCAUGACGACGGCGGCUCUCAGCCCCUUACGGAAGCAAGGAGACGUCAGCAAGGACUCGACAGCCCCGACAGCUGUCCUUCCGCAAGGCUCCAACACUCCUCCGACGGCCACAACAUCACAUGAACAGGGUGCCAAAACCUCUCUAGCUGCCACGACGGCAUGUACUUAGGGCGCUAGCUCCUCUCUGCUAGACACGUUAGCACAUUGCUACACUCCCCAUUGUACACCUGGACCCUCUCCUUACGCUUAUAAAAGGAAGGUCCAGGGCUCUCUUACGAGAAGGUUGGCCGCGCGGAAGAGGACGGGACGGCGCGUGCACGCCUCUCGCUCCCUCCACGCGGACGCUUGUAACACCCUACUGCAAGCGCACCCGACCUGGGCACAGGACAACACGAAGGCCGCGGGUUUCCCCUUUUUACGCCUGUCUCCCUCUAGCUUCCCCCCUUCGUCCUCCGUCUCGCGCCGACCCAUCUGGGCUGGGGCACGCGACGACAGUUUACUCGUCGGUCCAGGGACCCCCCGGGGUCGAAACGCCGACAGUUGACGCGCCAGGUAGGGGCCUGCUGCGUGUUGACGAACAGCUUCCCAUCAAGCUCCAGAUGGGUAGUCUCCAGCAACCUUUCUAGCCCGGGAUGGUGCUCCGUUUCGGGAGUCUUGAGUUCAUGUCCCUCGACGGCAGCUACGACAUGAUACUCCUUCCUCCGCCGCGCGACAGCGACAAUGGCGGUCGACAACCCGCCCGCCGCCGGCAGAAUCAACGACGUCUUCCCCACGUGGCGGAAGAACAACAUUCGGGUUUGUCCCGUCGCCUCCCCCGCCGACGGAGGAGGAGGCGGGGCAACCAAGGUCAAGCAGGAGGCGGCACCUCGUCGGCUGUCGAGCAAGUCGACGGCGCCGGCGCCCCAACAGGGACACGUCGGGCGUCGACCUCGCGUCUGAGACGAAGACGAGUGUCGUUUCCUCGCAACACGCCAACUCCAAGCGGACAUCGACGCCAGCACGCUCGCGAAGGACUUGCUGAGCGUCGCCCUCGUACCUGAGACGACGGUGCAGUCCGCCCCCGACGCGACUUCAUCACCGCCCGUCGACCAAGAGGUACCGACCGGUCCCCAUCUCGUGCCUUUUAGAUCCAGCUGCGACCCACCAAGCAACCCCGCUUUGGUGGACGCUUUAAUAAAGGCAUGUUCAAACCCUCCGGGGUAUCGUAUGCGGUCACCCUGGGACCGGCUGACGGCCGUCUCGACCUAUGGACCCUCGGGUUCCGAGGAAGAUGACGAGCCCGACUUUUGUUGGGAUUUCUACGGACUCGGUAACCCCAGUGCCAUGCGGGACUUCAUGACCGCAUGCGACUACUGCCUUUCCGACUGUUCCGACGGUAGCCGCAGCUUCGGCGACGAGGACUGUGGCCUAAGUCGUGAAUGUUUCCACGUCGAUCUAGGGGGUCCCGGCGAAGGCAACCAUCUUGGUAUACCAGAAAACUGUGAUCCCCCUAGGCCUGCGCCUCGCGUUGACAUCCUUCGGGAGCUAGCUGUGGUCCCAGUCCCUGCGGGGGGUCAGGACGCACAGCUCGAGCAAAUCCGCGAGAUGCAGCCCAGGCUCGACGAGGGAGCAGGAACACUUGAGCUGUUCUGCCGGGACAUUGGGCAGGAAUGGGCAGGCCAAGCUCCGGCCGGAGAAGCGCGUCAUCUACCUAGGGCAUCCAGCACCGCAUUGCCGACGACGUCAGGGCAAGGCCGCCACCGGCUUCUAGUGGGGUCGGCCAGAACCUGGCUGCGACAGCGAUACUACUCCGCGCGAUGCCGGAACCAUCAACCACCGAAGGGCGGUGUAUCCAGGGAGAGCUCAAGAAUCUCCUGGUGGACGCCGCGGUCCGACGGGCCGAAAGCUCUGCCUCCCGAAGGCAGGGGUACCCCUCGGAGCAUCGCGCCGCGACUUCCCGAUUCAUGCGGGAAGCCUUGGUCCACACCGGGCGCACGCGCAACACAGAGCCUGCGGCCCCGGGUCGCCUCGGCAACGAGCACCACCACCGCAACCGUCGAACCCACCUCGACGAGAGGGUGCGCCGAGGCUACCACCCCAGGCAUGGGGGACUCUACGACAGCGAGGAGGAUCGGAGUCCCUCGCCCGAACCACCCGGUCCGCAGGCUUUCAGCCGGGCCAUACGACGGGCGCCGUUCCCGACCCGGUUCUGAACCCCGACUACUAUCACAAAGUACUCGGGGGAGGCGAGGCUGGAACUGUGGCUCGCGGACUACUGGCUGGCCUGCCACCUGGGUGGAAUGGACGAUGACAACCUCAUCAUCCGCAACCUCCCCCUGUUCCUCUCCGACACCGCUCGAGCCUGGCUGGAGCACCUGCCUCCGGGGCAGAUCUCCAACUGGGACGACCUGGUCCAAGCCUUCGUCGGCAACUUCCAGGGCACGUAUGUGCGCCCUGGGAACUCCUAGGAUCUCCGAAGCUGCCGCCAGCAGCCGGGAGAGUCUCUCCGGGACUACAUCCGGCGAUUCUCGAAGCAGCGCACCGAGCUGCCCAACGUCACCGACUCGGAUGUCAUCGGCGCGUUCCUCGCCGGCACCACCUGCCGCGACCUGGUGAGCAAGCUGGGUCACAAGACCCCCACCAGGGCGAGGGAGCUGAUGGACAUCGCCACCAAGUUCGCCUCUGGCCAGGAGGCGGUUGAGGCCAUCUUCCGGAAGGACAAGCAGCCCCAGGCCCGCCAGCCGGAAGAUGUCCCCGAGGCGUCCACUCAGCGCGGCACCAAGAAGAAAGGCAAGAAGAAGUCGCAAGCAAAACGCGACGCCGCCGACGCGGACCUUGUCGCCGCCGCUGAGUACAAGAACCCUCGGAAACCUCCCGGAGGUGCCAAUCUCUUCGACAAGAUGCUCAAGGAGCCGUGCCCCUAUCAUCAGGGGCCCGUCAAGCACACCCUUGAGGAGUGCGCCAUGCUUUGACGCCACUUUCACAAGGUCGGACCACCUGCGGAAGGUGGCAGGGCCCACAACAACGACAAAAGGGAGGAUCACAAGGCAGAGGAGUUCCCCGAGGUCCACGACUGCUUCAUGAUCUACGGUGGGCAAGUGGCGAACGCCUCGGCUCGGCACCGCAAGCAAGAGCGUUGGGAGGUCUGCUCGGUAAAGGUGGCGGCGCCAGUCUACCUAGACUGGUCCGACAAGCCCAUCACCUUCGACCAGGGCGACCACCCCGACCGCGUGCCGAGUCCGGGGAAAUACCCGCUCGUUGUCGACCCCGUCAUUGGCAACGUCAGGCUCACCAAGGUCCUCAUGGACGGAGGCAGCAGCCUCAACAUCAUCUACGCCGAGACCCUCGGGCUCCUGCGGAUCGAUCUGUCCUCGGUCCGGGCAGGCGCGACGCCUUUUCAUGGGAUCAUUCCCAGGAAGCGCGUUCAGCCCCUCGGACAACUCGAUCUGCCCGUCUGCUUCGGGACUCCCUCCAACUUCAGAAGGGAAACCCUCACGUUCGAGGUGGUCGGGUUCUGAGGAACCUACCACGCAGUGCUGGGGAGGCCAUGCUACGCCAAGUUCAUGGCCGUCCCCAACUACACCUACCUCAAGCUCAAGAUGCUGGGCCCCAACGGGGUCAUCACCGUCGGCCCCACGCACCGACACAAGUACGAAUGCGACGUGGAGUGCGUGGAGUACGCUGAGGCCCUUGCUGAAUCCGAGGCCCUCAUCGCCGACCUGGAGAGCCUCUCCGAGGAGGCGCCAGACGUGAAGCGCCAUGCCAGCAACUUCAAGCCAGCAGAGACGGUUAAGUCCGUCCCUCUCGACCCCAGCAACGACGCCUCCAAGCAGAUCCGGAUCGGCUCCGAGCUCGACCCCAAAUAGGAAGCAGUGCUCGUCGACUUUCUCCGCGCAAACGCCGACGAUUUCGUGUGGAGUCCCUCGGACAUGCCUGGCAUACCGAGGGAUGUCGCCGAGCACUCGCUGGAUAUCCGAGCUGGAGCCCGACCCGUGAAGCAGCCUCUGCGCCAAUUCGACGAAGAAAAGCGCAGAGCCAUAGGCGAGGAGAUCCACAAGCUGAUGGAGGCAGGGUUCAUCAAAGAGGUAUUCCAUCCCGAAUGGCUCGCCAACCCUGUGCUUGUGAGAAAGAAAGGAAAGAAAUGGCGGAUGUGUGUAGACUACACUGGUCUAAACAAAGCCUGUCCAAAAGUUCCCUACCCUCUGCCUCGCAUCGAUCAAAUCGUGGAUUCCACUGCUGGGUGCAAAACCCUGUCUUUCCUCGAUGCCUACUCAGGGUAUCAUCAAAUCAGGAUGAAAGAGUCCGACCAGCUCGCGACUUCUUUCAUCACACCUUUUGGCAUGUAUUGCUACGUUACUAUGCCAUUUGGUCUGAGGAAUGCGGGUGCGACGUACCAAAGGUGCAUGAAUCACGUGUUCGGUGAACACAUUGGUCGAACGGUCGAGGCUUACGUCGAUGACAUCGUAGUCAAGACGAGGAAAGCCUCCGACCUCCUUUCCGACCUUGAAACGACAUUCUGGUGUCUCAAGGCGAAAGGCGUAAAACUCAACCCCGAGAAGUGUGUCUUCGGGGUCCCCUGAGGCAUGCUCUUGGGGUUCAUCGUCUCCGAACGGGGCAUCGAGGCUAACCCGGAGAAAAUCGCGGCCAUCACCAACAUGGGGCCCAUCAAGGACUUGAAAGGCGUACAGAGGGUCAUGGGAUGCCUUGCGGCUCUGAGCCGCUUCAUCUCGUGCCUCGACGAAAGAGGGCUACCUCUGUACCGCCUCUUAAGGAAGGCCGAGUGCUUCACUUGGACCCCUGACGCCGAGGAAGCCCUCAGGAACCUGAAGGCGCUCCUCACGAACGCGCCCAUCUUGGUGCCCCCCGCUGCCGGAGAAGCCCUCUUGAUCUACGUCGCCGCUACCACUCAGGUGGUCAGCGCCGCGAUCGUGGUUGAGAGAUGAGAAGAGGGGCAUGCAUUGUCCGUCCAGAGGAUAGUAUACUUCAUCAGUGAGGUACUGUCCGAGACCAUGAUCUGCUACCCACAAAUUCAGAAGUUGUUGUACGCGGUGAUCCUGACGCGGCGGAAGUUGCGACACUACUUCGAGUCUCAUCCGGUGACUGUGGUGUCAUCCUUCCCCCUGGGGGAGAUCAUCUCGUGCCGAGAGGCCUCGGGUAGGAUUGCAAAGUGGGUGGUGGAAAUCAUGGGCGAGACAAUCUCGUUCGCCCCUCGGAAGGCCAUCAAGUCCCAAGUCUUGGCGGACUUUGUGGCUGAAUGGGUCCACACCCAGCUCCCAACGGCUCCGAUCCAACCGGAACUCUGGACCAUGUUUUUCGACGGGUCGCUGAUGAAGACAGGGGCAGGCGCAGGCCUGCUCUUCAUCUCGCCCCUCGGGAAGCACCUACGCUACGUGUUAUGCCUCCACUUCCCGGCGUCCAACAAUGUGGCCGAGUACGAGGCUCUGGUCAACGGGUUGCGCAUCGCCAUCGAGCUAGGGGUCCGACGCCUCGACGCUCGCGGUGACUCGCAGCUCGUCAUUGACCAAGUCAUGAAGAACUCCCACUGCCGCGACCCGAAGAUAGAAGCCUACUGCGAUGAGGUUCGGCGCCUGGAGGACAAGUUCUAUGGGCUCGAGCUCAACCACAUCGCCCGACGAUACAACGAGACUGCGGACGAGCUGGCUAAGAUAGCCUCGGGGCGAACAACGGUUCCCUCGGACGUCUUCUCCCGAGACCUACAUCAGCCCUCAAUCAAGACCGACGACACGCCCGAGCCCGAGAAGGCCUCGGCCCAGCCCGAGGCACCCUCGGCUCCCGAGGGUGAGGCACUGUGCGUCGAGGAAGAGCGGAGCGGGGUCACGCCUAAUCGAAACUGACAGACCCCGUACCUGCAAUAUCUCCACCGAGGAGAGCUGCUCCUCGACCGAGCCGAGGCUCGGCGACUGGCGCGGCGCGCCAAGUCAAUCGUCUUGCUGGGGGACGAGAAGGGGAUCUACCACCGCAACCCCUCAGGCAUCCUCCAGCGAUGCAUAUCCAUCGCCGAAGGCCAGGAGCUCUUACAAGAAAUACACUCGGGGGCUUACGGUCACCACGCAGCGCCCCGAGCCCUUGUUGGAAACGCCUUCCGACAAGGUCUCUAUUGGCCGACCGCGGUGGCCGACACCGCUAGAAUUGUCCGCACCUGCCAAGGGUGUCAAUUCUACGCAAGGCAGACCCACCUGCCCGCUCAGGCUUUGCAGACGAUACCCAUCACCUGGUCGUUUGCUGUAUGGGGUCUGGACCUCGUUGGCCCCUUGCAGAAGGCACCCGGGGGCUACACGCACCUCCUGGUCGCCAUCGAUAAAUUCUCCAAGUGGAUCGAGGUCCGGCCCUUGAACAGCAUCAGGUCCGAACAGGCGGUGGCAUUCUUCACCAACAUCAUCCAUCAUUUCGGGGUCCCGAACUCCAUCAUCACCGACAACGGCACCCAGUUCACCGGCAGAAAGUUCCUGGACUUCUGCGAGGAUCACCACAUCCGGGUGGACUGGGCCGCCGUGGCUCACCCCAUGACGAAUGGGCAAGUAGAGCGUGCCAACAGCAUGAUUCUGCAAGGACUCAAGCCACGGAUCUACAACGACCUCAACAAGUUCGGCAAGCGAUGGAUGAAGGAGCUCCCCUCGGUGGUCUGGAGUCUGAGGAUGACGCCGAGCCGAGCCACGGGCUUCACACCGUUCUUUCUAGUCUAUGGGGCCAAGGCCAUCUUGCCCACAGACUUAGAAUACGGUUCCCCGAGGGCGAGGGCCUACGACGACCAAACCGAUCGAACAAAUCGAGAAGACUCACUGGACCAGCUGGAAGAGGCUCGGGACAUGGCCUUACUACACUCGGCGCGGUAUCAGCAGUCCCUGCGACGCUACCACGUCCGAGGGGUUCGGUCCCGAGACCUCCAGGUGGGCGACUUGGUGCUUCGGCUGCGACAAGACGCCCGAGGGCGGCACAAGCUCACGCCUCCCUGGGAAGGGCCGUUCGUCAUCGCCAAGGUUCUGAAGCCUGGGACAUACAAGCUGGCCAACAGUCAAGGCGAGGUCUACAGCAACGCUUGGAACAUCCGACAGCUACGUCGCUUCUACCCUUAAGAUGCUUUCAAGUUGUUCAUACACCUCGUUCACAUACGAAGUCUAACCAUCAAGGAAGGGUUAGCCUUGCCUCGGCAAAGCCCGACCCUCCCUCGGGGGCUAGAAGGGGGGAACCCCCUCUGCGUCAAAAUUUUCCUCGGAAAAAGUCUUUUCUGCCAUAACGACUUUCGUGCUUUUCGACUACUUCGAAAGUGGGAUCCUGAAAACGACGGAGUACACGUAAGCAGCCAAGGUUGACCGAGCCGAGGGACUCCUACGCCUCUGGGAUACGGAUACCUCACUCAUCACCUUCCGUGAAAAGUAACUCUCGCUCGGACAAACAAUUCUGUUACCGAUAGAUAAGUCUUGAUAUCCGAAACAAGAGGAAAAAGAAAUGCAGCUUUACAACACAACGACAGUAUGUUUGGGCCUCGGCGGCCGCAGAAAACAUACGCGCACUACAAGAUAAACCGAUCCUGCAGGCUCAGACCUUGACGGAGGGGGAGUAGCAGCACCCUCGGCAUCAACUACACCUUCGGUGGAGUCCGACCGAGCCUCGGACGACAACACGGUCAAAGGAUCUCUGCUCCGAAGGACGACAUCAGCACCACGCCCGGGCCAUCGCCGCCAGGGUCUCCUCUAGGAAUCCGGCCAGAGCAGACGGCUCGGCCGGCCCGAAGCCUCAGCCAGCUGUCCUCCGAGGACAUCAGCCCGGCUCAUGGCCUCGGCAACUCAACUCCAGCGCUGGUCCCACCGGUGGACGGCCCGGUCAGGCUUCGGCCGACGAAGUCUACUUUUCGAGCCAACUCUGCCUCUGUCCACAAUGACACCACUGCCUCCGGCUUCGGCUCAUCGAAGAGCGGCCGAGGGUUCCUUUAACUAAACAAGAGAAGCCUCGGGCAGCAAGGUCGACCAAGCCGAGGGACUCCUACGCCUCCGGGAUACGAAUACCUCACUCGUCACCUUUGCACGAGGCAACUCAUGCUUGGUGAAGCAGUUUAGAUAGCCGACAGGCGAGUCCUAGUGCUCGAAAUGAGGAAAAAACACGGCUCCGUGCCAAAAAUACAUACAUGUUCAGGCCCCGACAGCCACAAUGAACAGACACCGGCAUUCAAGGUGCCAUUACAAACGGAACUCCGGUUCCGCCCCCGCGGGUACGAACAACCCCCCACAUUGGAGGGCUCACGAGGCGACAAGGCCCUAGGUGGCUACCGUCGCCCGCUCCGGCAGCAGCGACAACGACCUCCGCUCCAGAUGGCCAAACUGCAGCGGUAAUGGCCUUAGGGCAGACGCCGCUGCAACAAUGCCCUCGCCCACGUCCCUGAAAGGGAAAUGUGCCCUUGGGCCAUUUCUAAGUGUUUUGGUGAUUUAGUGUCCAACACAAGUGCCUAAGUGUCAAAUGGUGGACAAAGUACAAAUCAAGUAUAAAGGUAUGUUUCUCAGACUUAGUACAUUGUUUUAGUGACUAAUGUAUUGUGUCUAAGUGCUGGAAACAGGAGAAAUCGAAUUGGAGAAGAGAUGGCCUUGUUCAGCCAAAGCCAGCUCUGUCUGGGUGCACCGGACUGUCCGGUGGUGCACCGGACAGUGUCCGGUGCGCCAGGCUGGCUCAGGCGAACUUGCUGCUCUCGGGAAGAAAUUAACGGCGUACGGCUAUAAUUCACCGGACUGUCCGGUGUGCACCGGACAGUGUCCGGUGAGCCAACGGUCGCCGGGCCAACGGUCGGCCGCUUAAUCCGGGCGCGACGCGUGGCCGUGCCAACGGCUAGAAGGGGGCACCGGACUGUCCGGUGUACACCGGACAGUGUCCGGUGCGCCAACGGCUCCAAGGCUACCAACGGUCGGCUUCGCCAAAUAAGGAAGGAAAUCCGCACCGGACAGUGUCCGGUGGUGCACCGGACUGUCCGGUGCGCCAGGCGACAGAAGGCAAGAAUUGCCUUCCCGGAUCGCUCUCAACGGCUCCUAGCUGCCUUGGGGCUAUAAAAGGGACCCCUAGGCGCAUGGAGGAGAACACCAAGCAUUCCUUGAGCACUCUUGAUCACUCACACUCCAUUCUUACACACUUGUUCGACAUUCUAGUGAUUUGAGCUCCGUUCUAGUGUGCUAGUCUUUUGAGCUUAAGUCUGGGCCUUGUGUGUGCGUAUUUGGUGUGAUCUUUGUGUCUUGUGUGAGUUGCUAAUCCCUCCCUUACUCCGUGCUUCUUUGUGAACAUAUUUGUAAGGGCAAGAGACUCCAAGUUGUGGAGAUUCCUUACGAACGGGAUAUAGAAAAGAAAAGCAAACACCAUGGUAUUCAAGUGGGUCUUUGGACCGCUUGAGAGGGGUUGAUUGCAACCCUCGUCCGUUGGGACGCCACAACGUGGAAGUAGGCAAGUGUUGUACUUGGUCGAACCACGGGAUAAACCACUGUGUCUACCUGUGUUGAUUCUCUUAUGGUUAUUGUGUUUCGCUAAGACUCUUCUCUAGCCACUUGGCAAUAAUGUGCUAACGCUUAACCAAGUUUUUGUGGCAUUAAGUUCAAGUUUUACAGGAUCACCUAUUCACCCCCCCUCUAGGUGCUCUCAAUUGGUAUCGGAGCCGUUCUCUUCAAGAAAGGGACUAACCGCCCGAAGAGAUGGAUCCUAAGGGCAAGGGGAUUGUGAUCAAUGUCAAGGAGAAGGAGUCACUCGUCAACGAGCCCAAGGAAGACAAGCCUACCGACUCGGGCUCGGGCCACAAAUGCAAAGAUGGGAAGAAGAAGAAGACAAGACGCAUCAAGGAGAUCGUCUACUACGAUGACAGCGAUGAGUCCACUUCUUCCCAAAAGGACAACGACGACAACGACUACGAGAGAAGGAAACCGGUUAAUUCGAACUUUUCUUUUGACUACUCUCGUAUUCCGCAAAGUACAAAUGCUCAUUUGCUCUCCAUUCCACUUGGCAAACCUCCUCACUUUGAUGGAGAGGACUACGGAUUUUGGAGCCACAAAAUGCGUAGUCACCUGUUCUCUCUCCAUCCGAGCAUAUGGGAGAUUGUGGAAAGUGGAAUGAAAUUUGAUAGCUCGGAUAGUCCUAUGUUUAUCAAUGAACAGAUUCAUAGAAAUGCACAAGCUACUACUGUGUUGUUAGCCUCUCUGUGCAGGGACGAGUAUCAUAAGGUGAGCGGCUUGGACAAUGCCAAGCAGAUCUAGGACACCCUCAGGAUCUCACAUGAGGGGAACGACGUCACCUUACUCACCAAAAUGGAGUUGGUGGAGACGAGCUUGGAAGAUUCGCAAUGAUCAGGGGAGAGGAGCCAACCCAAACAUACAACCGGCUCAAGACCCUCAUCAACAAGAUAAGGAGCUACGGAAGCACACGAUGGACGGACCACGACGUCGUUCGUCUAAUGCUAAGGUCCGUUACUGUACUUGAUCCACAUUUGGUGAACAAUAUCCGUGAAAAUCCUAGGUACACCAAGAUGUCGCCCGAAGAAGUUCUUGGGAAAUUUGUAAGCGGGCGAAUGAUGAUCAAGGAGGCAAGAUAUGUCGACGACGCGUUGAGCGGUCCAAUCCAUGAGCCUCAACCCAUUGCUCUCAAGGCAACGAGGAGCAAGGUGGCGCAAGUUGAGGCGGCCGGGCUCAAUGAUGAAGAGAUGGCCCUCAUCAUCAAGCGCUUCAAGACGGCGCUAAAGGGUCGCAAGGGGCAGCCAAGCAAGACCAAGACAAAGGGAAAGCGCUCAUGCUUCAAAUGUGGUAAGGUUGGUCAUUUUAUUGCUAACUGUCCCGACAAUGAUAGUGACCAGGAACAAGGGAACAAGAGGGAGAAGAAGAAGAACUAUAAGAAGGCAAAAGGCGAGGCACAUCUUGGCAAGGAGUGGGACUCGGAUUGUUCGUCGUGCGACUCCGACAACGAAGGACUCGCCGCCACUGCCUUCAACAAGUCAUCCCUCUUCUCCAACGAGCAUCACACUUGCCUCAUGGCAAGGGAAAAGAAGGUAAGUGCUCGUAACACUAGUACUUAUGCUUCUUCAAGUUCGGAUGAGUCUAGUUGUAACGCCCCGAAUUUUGCAGUUGAAUUUUUUUUCUUUUCUUUACUCGCCAAAAUUCGGGCGUUACCUUUUCUUUUUCUUUUUGCCCUCGCUACACCUUGACCUUUUCCAAAGUUCUAGCGGGAUUCGGUUUGGAUUUCCCGUGUAAGAAAAACCCUAAAUACUUUAUGUUGUUUGAUGCACCAUGCCGAACCUUGCAUUUCUUUUUGAUUGCUUUGAAAGUGCAAAUGCAUUCAUGUAAAAAGAUCGGAUUUCGAAAAUGAGGAGAAGAUCUUUUCUUUCUUUUUUUUUUCUCUCUCUUUCUCUCUCCUCUUUUUCUCUCUCUCCCGCGCCGUGGGCCGACCCCGGCCGGCCCAGCCGCCCCUGGCGCCCCCCCUUGGGCCCAAAAGGCCCAACCGCCCCCCCCCCCACCUCCCCUUUUUUCCCCAAAUUCUUUCUCCCUCCCUCUCAUUUUCUCUCAUUUUCUCUCCCUCACCCUAAGCCGCCGCCGCCCCUACCCCCUGCCCUAGCGCCGCCCCUCCCCGUCGCCGAUCGGCCGCCCCGCUCGGCCGCCCCGCCCCGUCCCCGUCGCCGGUGAGCCCCCUCCCCCUCUCCUCCCUUCCCCAUUUCCCCCCCCUCCCCUUUCCCCUUGCCGCUCGGCGCCUUGGCCGCCGCCAUGGCCGGCUCGGCCCGCCCCGCCCGGCCGCGCCCUGGCCGGCUCGGCCAGCCCCCAGCCGUGCCCCCCGCCGGCGCGCCCCCUGGCUGCCUUGGCUGCGCGCUCGCCUGGCCGUUUGGCCGGCUCGGCCGCCUGGCCAGCCCGACCCCCCCCCGCGCGCUCGCCUGGCCGCCGGUUCAACCGGGCCGGCUCAGCCGCCCCGCCGCCCAGCUCGCCGCCCAGCCGGCCGGUUCAACCGCCCCUAGGGCCGGUUCAACCGCCCCCCCCUGUUUUUUAUUUUUUUAUUUAUUUUAUUUUAUUUACUUUCUGUGAUCAUAGCUAUUUUAUUUUAAGUAGGCUAAUCGUUGUUCAUAUGCCAUUGAAAUAGGAAGUUUAAUUUAAAAUUCCGUUAUGCUAAUUGAUUCAUGUAGUUAAUUGUUUAUCUCGUGCGAUGUUGAUCAAUUUAAAACGAUUAGGUUCCCACUAGUGCAUAUAACAGAAUUCUUUUGUUAAGAACCAAUUGUAAUUGAUCGUUAGCGCAUAAGAUUUAACCCCCUGCGAGACCCUUUCCCGUUUCUUUCUAACCAUAACAAAUGCGAUAUCGAAUGUCAUACUUGAUGCAUAUUCGUUUUACUUGUUCCCUUGUAUGGUGUACUGUUCUUUUGUAUUAAAUAUGUGGAUGUAUGUAUGUUUGCAAUCGCAUAGAGAACGAUUCGGUCGAAGAGCCCGAGGAACCCGCAGGAGAAGCCCCUGAGCAGCAGUCGUUUGGUGGAGGCAAGUGUCCUUUGACCUAUCUCUGUCCUAUUCAUUCUUUAAUUCACCCCCCGCAUUACAUAUUUAUACCUAAGGAUUGACUAGCUUUUGUUAUCCAUGUCCUUGUUUACCUAUCUGGGUUGGAUUAUUACUGUUUAGCUUUAUGCUAUUGCUCAACUCUAAUCAAUGAACAUGAUGAGAUUAUCUAUGAUACGCUGUUUUCCCUUCUCUUAUUAUGAUGUUGUACUUGUGACCUUCAAGGGGGCUCGAGCGGUUUCUCGAGUGCCUCUCCAUAAGGACCUGUUCUAUGGAUGACCGCCCGGGAAAACAGUGCAACCAUGAGGGUGGAAUGGGGUGCCCUUAGCUGAAUAAUUAGAGGAUCCGGGGUGUAGUUCACUUAGCCGUCGUGCCGUCAAUGGGGCUCGGUGUAUGCGGCUCGCUCUGCCAAGUUUGGGUUCGCCCCUUGGGGAGGAGUGCGGUGCAUUUAGGAAACCUAACGGGUGGCUACAGCCCCGGGGAAUCUUUGUAAAGGCUACGUAGUGAAACCCUGCCUAUUCACCUUGGUAGUGUUUAAGGGUUUGAUCGGCCCGAGGCAAGAGGGAAUCACGGCUUGUGGGUAAAGUGCACAACCUCUGCAGAGUGUUAUGAAACUGAUAUAUCAGCCGUGCUCACGGUUAUGAGCGGCCAAGGGAGCUCCAGUGAUUAGUGGUACUUGAUCAGAGACAUUGUGGUACAGGUGGUUAUGAGAUUGAUGGUUUUGGUUAUGACUAUGGUGCUGGUAAGUGGUAUUCUUUCCGUUUGGAAAGGGUACAUCGGGUUAAUAACUUGGGUAAAUGCUAAAACUUGGCUUUCUACUAGUAAAUAAUAAUCUGACCAACUAAAAGCAACUGCUUGACUUAUCCCCACAUAAAGCUAGUCCACUACAGCCAAACAGGAUACUUGCUGAGUAUGUUGAUGUGUACUCACCCUUGCUCUACACACCAAACCCCCCCCAGGUUGUCAGCAUUGCAACCACUGCUCAGGCGAAGAUGAAGCUGUGGAAGGAGACUUCCAGGAGUUCCAAGAUUACGACGAGUUCUAGGUGUGGGUUAGCGGCAACCCCCAGUCGGCUGCCUGUGAAGGCCGCGUUAUCUACGUUUCUUUUCCGCACUUUGAUUUAUUGUAAGAACUAUAUGGACGUCUCGGACGUAUGAUGUAAUCGACUAUUUCCCUUAUUAAUACUAUUUUGAGCACUGUGUGAUGAUGUCCAUAUUAUGUAACUGCUGUGUACGUGAAAUAACUGAUCCUGGCACGUACAUGGUUCGCAUUCGGUUUGCCUUCUAAAACCGGGUGUGACAUAAGUGGUAUCAAAGCCGUGCUGACUGUAGGACCGCUAACCUAGAGUAGAAUGGUCGUUCUAAGGACUAUAGACCUCUGUCUCUUCCUUGACUUUGAUAUCCCUUCAAAAGUUGGUCAUACCGACCAAACCUAUGUUCUACUAUAUAUUAUACCUUGCUAAAAAAUUGUGUUUCAUUCUGAUCCUUCAUUUACUUAUUACUUGCUGGUCAUAUUAAUUCUGUUCUCACCCUUUUGCUUGCGAUGUCUUUUGUAGAUGGCUCGACUUAGACACACUGCACGAAAGUCAGUCAUCCCCUUCUUACCCUCCCGCCUUGCUGAGCGUCCGCUUCGCCGUCCCGUGGCCGGACAGUCCAGCCACUUGGAGAGACUACACCACCGCCUGCGUGAGGAGCAGGAACGUCGACGACAGGAGCAGCAGGGCUCUUCUUUCUCGCUCCACCAGGAGAUAGAGUCUGUGAGGAGCUGCUCCCCUGUGCUUCCUCUGGAGCCGCCCCCUGCACCACCACUGGGCGCCCCAGCUUCUGGAGUAGCUGCUGGAGGAGACCCAGACGACGGAGAUGGCGACGACAGCUCGAGCCACGACACCGACUUCUCUACUAACCCUGAGCCGUAAGGAUGGGUUGCUCGACCCACCACUCGCGACGCUGCUCGCGGGUGUCACUUCCACGAUGCGCUCGACACCCUGCUACGUCGGGCAUUUGACCGGCAUACUUGGUCCGUCGAGUAUCGCUGUGUGGUCUACCAGCAUAGUCGUGGGGUCUACCCGGACCGCUGGGAGGCGACUUGCUUGGUGCGCUGCCCGGAGGACAGUCUCCAGGGUGCGGAGGCCUGCUCAGAGCACUAUUCUAUCUCUGAACGGGACUCAGCUGAGGCAGCCAUGCAAGAUGCUGCACGGCGUGCGCUUUCGCACUACUGCUCGGUUUUCGGUGGGGCAGCUGACGGUCUUGACCUGAAGUAUUACCCCCGCCGUCCAUCUGGCAGCACAGGAGGCGUGAUUGUCUCACCUGUCGGUGAGGGCAAUCCUAGGUUGAGCAGCACAGUCAACCUAGCCGCCGUGCUAAACACGGAGCUGGACCAUGCAUUAGACGAGCUGAGUAGGGCUCGUGCUGAGAUCGCCCUGCUGCGGGCUGAGCGCGCGGAACGUCGUCACUUGGAUGGUGGUUCCCCCGCUCCCGUCGGGACUCAGCACCCGUACCGCUCACCUCAGCGUGGACACCAGUCUUAUGGCAAUCCCGCCUGCAAGACCAAGAUAACUCUAGAACCAUAGCUCGUUAGAGUUGGAUCUUGUAAUUAAUACGAAAUAUAUACGUAGAAGCUUCAGUCUUAGCGUUAAUCUCGGUCUUAGUUAGUCUUAGUUAGACAGGGUAGUUUGCUAUAUCCUGUGCAUUUAUGUUUGUCAUGAUGAACUAUGUUUGGUUUGGAUCUUUGUAAUGAUUGUUACCAGAGUGUGGGUACCCCCUGCAUUUUGGUUUACAUACUAUGUUAAUAAAGUUAGUUAUAUAGUUGGGAAACCUUUUAUUCCACUUUCCUCUUUAUCUGAGAAGCUGUGUGGUCUGUGUUGGAGAUCAGUGAAGAUGCUCAUCUGUUCAGUGCUGUUGAAGAAUUCUAUUCUCUUUUCUUAUGCUGCAAGAUUUGCCAGAUCAGUUCUGAUGUGUGGUCGCAUUCUGCAGAUGUCAGAGAACAGGCGUAGAGGAGGAAGGCGUGCUCAGCAGGAGCGAGCCGGUCAGCAAGAUGAGGCGCCCCAGCAGCAGCAGCUGCCGCCCCCGCCCCCGAUGUCGAUCGAGCAGAUGUUUCUGAUGCAGACUCAGGCAGUUCAGGCCAUCGGUCAGACUUUGGCCGCCAUUCAGCAGCAGCAGCAGCAGCAGCAGCAAGCACCACCUCAGCCUCAGAUGCCUCAGAUGCCCAGAGACAAGCGUGCCGAAUUCAUGAGAGGUCAUCCACCAACGUUUGCUCACUCUUCUGACCCCAUGGAUGCUGAAGAUUGGCUGCGCACUGUGGAGCGGGAGUUGCAUACCGCUCAGUGCGAUGACAGGGAGAAAGUCUUGUAUGGUCCCCGUCUGUUGAGAGGAGCAGCCCAAUCAUGGUGGGAGUCUUACCUCGCCACCCAUGCCAACCCCGACACCAUCACCUGGGAAGAAUUCCGAGGUAGCUUUCGUCAGUACCAUGUGCCUGCAGGUCUGAUGACAGUGAAGAAAGAGGAGUUCCUGGCUCUCAAGCAAGGGCCAUCAUCUGUCAGUGAGUACCGGGACAGGUUUCUGCAAUUGUCUCGCUAUGCUCCUGAAGAUGUCAACACCGAUGCCAAGCGGCAGUACCGUUUCCUGAGAGGCUUGGUUGACCCUUUGCAGUAUCAACUGAUGAAUCAUACCUUCCCGACAUUCCAGCACCUAAUUGAUAGAGCGAUCAUGACAGAGAGAAAGCGUAAGGAGAUGGAGGAUCGUAAGCGCAAGAUUAGUGGACCCCAGCCUGGAAGCAGCAGUCGUCCUCGUUUUUCAGGCAAUCAACCUCAGCAGUUCAGGCAGAACCAGCGUCCACCUCAGCAGCAUCAGCAGUUUCAAAGGCAGUACCCUCAGAAUCAGUACCAGAACCGUCAGAGCAAUCAGUCAGGAGGUCAGUUUCAGAAGCAGAAUCAGCAAGCACCUCGUCUUCCUGCCCCAGCAAACCAGCAGAACAAUCAGGCAGCACCAGCUCAGGUUGGAAACAGGGCAUGUUUCCACUGUGGAGAGCAGGGCCAUUGGGUGAUGCAAUGUCCGAAGAAGGCAGCCCAGCAGCAGUCAGGCCCCAAUGCCCCAGCGAAGCAGAAUGUGUCUCAGCCUGGAGCAGGCAAUCGCCCUCAGCCGCGCUAUAAUCAUGGAAGAUUGAAUCACUUGGAAGCUGAAGCAGUUCAGGAGACCCCCGGCAUGAUAGUAGGUAUGUUCCCAGUCGACUCCCAUAUUGCAGAAGUGUUAUUUGAUACUGGAGCAACGCAUUCUUUCAUUACUGCAUCAUGGGUAGAAGCACAUAAUCUUCCAAUUACUACCAUGUCAACCCCCAUUCAAAUUGACUCAGCCGGUGGUAGAAUUCGAGCCGAUAGCAUUUGUUUGAAUAUAAGUGUGAAAAUAAGGGGGAUAGCGUUUCCCGCCAACCUUAUAGUAAUGGGUACUCAGGGAAUAGAUGUCAUCCUAGGGAUGAAUUGGCUAGAUAAGUAUCAGGCAGUUAUCAGUUGUGAUAAAAGGACAAUCAAGUUGGUGUCCCCACUAGGAGAGGAAGUGGUGACCGAGUUAGUCCCGCCUGAGCCAAAGAAAGGAAGUUGUUAUCAGAUGGCUGUCGAUAGCAGUGAAGCAGACCCAAUUGAGAGUAUCAAGGUAGUGUCUGAGUUCCCGGAUGUGUUUCCAAAGGACUUACCGGGUAUGCCACCAGAGCGGAAAGUUGAGUUUGCUAUAGAGCUUUUUCCCGGAACCGCCCCCAUCUUUAAGAGAGCUUACAGAAUAUCUGGACCAGAGUUGGAUGAACUUAAGAAGCAAAUUGAUGAGCUGUCAGAGAAAGGUUACAUUCGGCCAAGCACCUCGCCUUGGGCCGCCCCUGUCUUGUUCGUGGAAAAGAAAGAUGGUACCAAGAGGAUGUGUAUUGAUUACCGAGCUUUGAAUGAGGUCACGAUCAAGAACAAGUAUCCUUUGCCCAGGAUUGAAGAUCUGUUCGACCAGUUGAGAGGAGCCAGUGUGUUCUCCAAGAUUGAUCUGAGGUCAGGUUAUCAUCAGCUCAGGAUCCGACCUUCGGACAUUCCGAAGACGGCAUUCAUUACCAAGUAUGGGUUGUACGAGUUCACAGUGAUGUCUUUUGGUUUGACCAAUGCGCCAGCAUUCUUCAUGAACUUGAUGAACAGUGUAUUCAUGGAUUACCUUGAUAAGUUUGUGGUGGUAUUCAUUGAUGAUAUUCUGGUUUAUUCUCAAAGCGAAGAAGAGCAUGCAGACCAUUUGAGGAUGGUAUUGCAGAGAUUGCGAGAGCACCAGUUGUACGCAAAGUUGAGCAAGUGUGAGUUCUGGAUCAGCGAAGUCCUGUUCUUGGGUCAUAUAAUCAACAAAGAAGGAUUGGCUGUUGAUCCGAAGAAAGUGGCAGACAUUUUGAACUGGAAAGCGCCAACAGAUGCUAGAGGAAUCAAGAGUUUCAUUGGAAUGGCCGGAUAUUAUCGGCGAUUCAUUGAAGGGUUUUCGAAAAUUGCGAAGCCAAUGACAGCGUUGCUAGGCAACAAAGUUGAGUUCAAGUGGACCCAGAAAUGCCAAGAGGCCUUUGAAGCGCUGAAAGAGAAGUUGACUACAGCGCCUGUCCUAGUCUUGCCUGAUGUGCACAAGCCCUUCUCGGUGUAUUGUGAUGCUUGUUACACAGGUUUGGGAUGUGUGUUGAUGCAAGAGGGAAGAGUUGUGGCUUACUCGUCCCGACAGCUGAAGGUUCAUGAGAAGAACUACCCAAUCCAUGACCUAGAGUUGGCAGCAGUGGUUCACGCACUGAAGUCAUGGAGGCACUAUUUGUAUGGACAGAAAUGCGAUGUUUACACAGAUCACAAGAGUCUGAAGUACAUAUUCACUCAGUCGGAGUUGAACAUGAGGCAACGAAGAUGGUUAGAGUUGAUCAAAGAUUAUGAGUUGGAGAUCCAUUACCAUCCAGGCAAAGCAAACGUAGUGGCAGAUGCUUUGAGCAGAAAGAGUCAAGUCAAUCUGAUGGUCGCUCGUCCGAUGCCUUAUGAGUUGGCCAAAGAGUUUGACAGGUUGAGUCUCGGAUUUCUGAACAAUUCGCGAGGAGUCACAGUUGAAUUGGAACCUACCUUGGAGCGAGAAAUCAAAGAAGCGCAGAAGAAUGAUGAGAAAAUCAGUGAGAUCCGGCGACUGAUUCUAGAUGGCAGAGGCAAAGAGUUUCGAGAAGAUGCAGAAGGCGUGAUAUGGUUCAAAGACCGCUUGUGUGUUCCCAAUGUCCAGUCUAUUCGGGAGUUGAUUCUCAAGGAAGCUCAUGAGACAGCCUAUUCGAUUCACCCUGGUAGUGAGAAGAUGUAUCAGGAUCUGAAGAAGAAAUUCUGGUGGUACGGAAUGAAAAGGGAGAUCGCAGAGCAUGUGGCUAUGUGUGAUAGUUGUCGAAGAAUUAAGGCAGAACACCAGAGACCUGCUGGAUUGUUGCAACCGUUGCAGAUCCCUCAGUGGAAAUGGGAUGAAAUUGGUAUGGAUUUCAUAGUCGGAUUGCCUCGCACUCGAGCCGGCUACGAUUCCAUUUGGGUAGUAGUGGACCGCUUGACCAAGUCAGCCCACUUCAUACCUGUCAAGACCAAUUACAACAGUGCAGUAUUGGCAGAGUUGUAUAUGUCUCGGAUCGUUUGUCUUCAUGGUGUGCCAAAGAAGAUAGUGUCAGACAGAGGAACGCAGUUCACCUCUCAUUUCUGGCAGCAGUUGCAUGAAGCCUUGGGCACACAUCUGAAUUUCAGUUCAGCUUAUCACCCGCAGACAGAUGGCCAGACCGAAAGAACCAAUCAAAUUCUUGAAGACAUGUUGAGAGCCUGUGCGUUGCAAGAUCAGUCCGGAUGGGACAAGCGAUUGCCUUAUGCAGAGUUUUCCUAUAACAACAGUUACCAGGCCAGUUUGAAGAUGUCACCGUUUCAAGCACUUUAUGGAAGGAGUUGUAGAACUCCGUUGCAAUGGGAUCAGCCUGGAGAAAAGCAAGUGUUUGGGCCAGACAUUUUGCUCGAAGCCGAAGAGAACAUCAAGAUGGUUCGAGAGAAUCUGAAGAUAGCGCAAUCGAGACAGCGAAGCUAUGCAGACACAAGAAGAAGAGAGCUGAGUUUCGAAGUCGGAGACUUUGUCUAUCUGAAAGUGUCACCGAUCAGAGGAGUCAGAAGAUUCGGAGUGAAAGGCAAGCUAGCACCCCGCUACAUUGGUCCGUAUCAGAUUCUUGCAAAGCGAGGAGAAGUGGCCUAUCAGCUCAGUUUGCCCGAGAAUUUGUCUGCUGUGCAUAAUGUCUUUCAUGUGUCUCAGUUGAAGAAGUGCUUGCAUGUGCCAGAAGAGCAGUUGCCAGUGGAAGGUCUUGAGGUCCAGGAGGACUUGACCUAUGUUGAGAAGCCAGCUCAGAUCCUUGAGAUUGCAGAUAGAGUCACCCGAAGGAAGACCAUCAGAAUGUGCAAAGUCAGAUGGAAUCACCACUCUGAGGAAGAAGCAACCUGGGAGCGUGAAGAUGAUCUGAUGGCUAAGUACCCAGAGCUCUUUGCUAGCCAGCCCUGAAUCUCGAGGGCGAGAUUCUUUUAAGGGGGAUAGGUUUGUAACGCCCCGAAUUUUGCAGUUGAAUUUUUUUUCUUUUCUUUACUCGCCAAAAUUCGGGCGUUACCUUUUCUUUUUCUUUUUGCCCUCGCUACACCUUGACCUUUUCCAAAGUUCUAGCGGGAUUCGGUUUGGAUUUCCCGUGUAAGAAAAACCCUAAAUACUUUAUGUUGUUUGAUGCACCAUGCCGAACCUUGCAUUUCUUUUUGAUUGCUUUGAAAGUGCAAAUGCAUUCAUGUAAAAAGAUCGGAUUUCGAAAAUGAGGAGAAGAUCUUUUCUUUCUUUUUUUUUCUCUCUCUUUCUCUCUCCUCUUUUUCUCUCUCUCCCGCGCCGUGGGCCGACCCCGGCCGGCCCAGCCGCCCCUGGCGCCCCCCCCUUGGGCCCAAAAGGCCCAACCGCCCCCCCCACCUCCCCUUUUUUCCCCAAAUUCUUUCUCCCUCCCUCUCAUUUUCUCUCAUUUUCUCUCCCUCACCCUAAGCCGCCGCCGCCCCUACCCCCUGCCCUAGCGCCGCCCCUCCCCGUCGCCGAUCGGCCGCCCCGCUCGGCCGCCCCGCCCCGCCCCGUCCCCGUCGCCGGUGAGCCCCCUCCCCCUCUCCUCCCUUCCCCAUUUCCCCCCCCCCUCCCCUUUCCCCUUGCCGCUCGGCGCCUUGGCCGCCGCCAUGGCCGGCUCGGCCCGCCCCGCCCGGCCGCGCCCUGGCCGGCUCGGCCAGCCCCCAGCCGUGCCCCCGCCGGCGCGCCCCCUGGCCGCCUUGGCUGCGCGCUCGCCUGGCCGUUUGGCCGGCUCGGCCGCCUGGCCAGCCCGACCCCCCCCCCCCCCCCGCGCGCUCGCCUGGCCGCCGGUUCAACCGGGCCGGCUCAGCCGCCCCGCCGCCCAGCUCGCCGCCCAGCCGGCCGGUUCAACCGCCCCUAGGGCAGGUUCAACCGCCCCCCCCCUGUUUUUUAUUUUUUUAUUUAUUUUAUUUUAUUUACUUUCUGUGAUCAUAGCUAUUUUAUUUUAAGUAGGCUAAUCGUUGUUCAUAUGCCAUUGAAAUAGGAAGUUUAAUUUAAAAUUCCGUUAUGCUAAUUGAUUCAUGUAGUUAAUUGUUUAUCUCGUGCGAUGUUGAUCAAUUUAAAACGAUUAGGUUCCCACUAGUGCAUAUAACAGAAUUCUUUUGUUAAGAACCAAUUGUAAUUGAUCGUUAGCGCAUAAGAUUUAACCCCCUGCGAGACCCUUUCCCGUUUCUUUCUAAACAUAACAAAUGCGAUAUCGAAUGUCAUAUUUGAUGCAUAUUCGCUUUACUUGUUCCCUUGUAUGGUGUACUGUUCUUUUGUAUUAAAUAUGUGGAUGUAUGUAUGUUUGCAAUCGCAUAGAGAACGAUUCGGUCGAAGAGCCCGAGGAACCCGCAGGAGAAGCCCCUGAGCAGCAGUCGUUUGGUGGAGGCAAGUGUCCUUUGACCUAUCUCUGUCCUAUUCAUUCUUUAAUUCACCCCCCGCAUUACAUAUUUAUACCUAAGGAUUGACUAGCUUUUGUUAUCCAUGUCCUUGUUUACCUAUCUGGGUUGGAUUAUUACUGUUUAGCUUUAUGCUAUUGCUCAACUCUAAUCAAUGAACAUGAUGAGAUUAUCUAUGAUACGCUGUUUUCCCUUCUCUUAUUAUGAUGUUGUACUUGUGACCUUCAAGGGGGCUCGAGCGGUUUCUCGAGUGCCUCUCCGUAAGGACCUGUUCUAUGGAUGACCGCCCGGGAAAACAGUGCAACCAUGAGGGUGGAAUGGGGUGCCCUUAGCUGAAUAAUUAGAGGAUCCGGGGUGUAGUUCACUUAGCCGUCGUGCCGUCAAUGGGGCUCGGUGUAUGCGGCUCGCUCUGCCAAGUUUGGGUUCGCCCCUUGGGGAGGAGUGCGGUGCAUUUAGGAAACCUAACGGGUGGCUACAGCCCCGGGGAAUCUUUGUAAAGGCUACGUAGUGAAACCCUGCCUAUUCACCUUGGUAGUGUUUAAGGGUUUGAUCGGCCCGAGGCAAGAGGGAAUCACGGCUUGUGGGUAAAGUGCACAACCUCUGCAGAGUGUUAUGAAACUGAUAUAUCAGCCGUGCUCACGGUUAUGAGCGGCCAAGGGAGCUCCAGUGAUUAGUGGUACUUGAUCAGAGACAUUGUGGUACAGGUGGUUAUGAGAUUGAUGGUUUUGGUUAUGACUAUGGUGCUGGUAAGUGGUAUUCUUUCCGUUUGGAAAGGGUACAUCGGGUUAAUAACUUGGGUAAAUGCUAAAACUUGGCUUUCUACUAGUAAAUAAUAAUCUGACCAACUAAAAGCAACUGCUUGACUUAUCCCCACAUAAAGCUAGUCCACUACAGCCAAACAGGAUACUUGCUGAGUAUGUUGAUGUGUACUCACCCUUGCUCUACACACCAAACCCCCCCCCCCCAGGUUGUCAGCAUUGCAACCACUGCUCAGGCGAAGAUGAAGCUGUGGAAGGAGACUUCCAGGAGUUCCAAGAUUACGACGAGUUCUAGGUGUGGGUUAGCGGCAACCCCCAGUCGGCUGCCUGUGAAGGUCGCGUUAUCUACGUUUCUUUUCCGCACUUUGAUUUAUUGUAAGAACUAUAUGGACGUCUCGGACGUAUGAUGUAAUCGACUAUUUCCCUUAUUAAUACUAUUUUGAGCACUGUGUGAUGAUGUCCAUAUUAUGUAACUGUUGUGUACGUGAAAUAACUGAUCCUGGCACGUACAUGGUUCGCAUUCGGUUUGCCUUCUAAAACCGGGUGUGACACUAGUGAUGAUGAUGAAAUAGAUUAUUCAUGUUUAUUCAAGGGUCUAGAUAGAACCAAGGUGGAUAAAAUAAAUGAAUUGAUUGAUGCUUUGAAUGAUAAGAAUAGAUUGCUAGAAAAGCAAGAGGAUCUCUUAUAUGAUGAACAUGAUAAGUUUGUAGAAGCUCAAAAAUCCCUUGCUUUAGAAAUAAAGAGGAAUGAAAUGCUUUCUUGUGAAUUGUCUACACGCCAUGACUCUAUUUCUAGUUUAAAAAGCAUAAACGAUGACUUGAAUGCUAAGUUAGAAAUAGCUAAUAAAUCAACAUAUUGUGUAUAACAUGUUGUGGUUUGCACUAGGUGUAAAGAUUUUAAUGGUGAUGCCUGUAGUGAACACCUAGUUUCAAUUUCCAAAUUGAAUGAUGAAGUGGCUAGUCUUAAUGCCCAACUUAAGACUAGCAAAAGCGAAUUUGAUAAGUUAAAAUUUGCAAGGGAUGCCUACACGAUUGGUAGACACCCCUCAAUUAAGGAUGGACUUGGUUUCAAGAGAGAAGCCAAGAACUUAACAAGCCAUAAGGCUCCCAUCCCCGCCAAGGAGAAAGGGAAGGCUCCUAUGGCUAGUAGUGCUAAAAAGAACCAUGCUUUUAUGUAUCAUGAUAGGAGACAUGCUAGAAAUGCAAAUAGAAGUUAUGAUGCUUUUGAUUCACAUGUUUAUGAUUCAUAUGCUAUGUUUGCUUCUAGUUCUUCCUGUAUGCAUGGUAGAAAUGUGUCUAGGAGAAAUGGUGUUAAUGUUCCUAGGAAAAUUAAUGAACCUUCUACAAUAUAUCAUGCUUUAAAUGCUUCCUUUGCUAUUUGUAGAAAGGAUAGGAAGAUAGUUGCUAGAAAAUUAGGGGCAAAAUGCAAGGGAGACAAAACUUGCAUUUGGGUCCCUAAGACAAUUGUGACUAACCUUGUAGGACCCAACAAGAGUUGGGUACCUAAGACCCAAGCCUAAAUUUGCCCUGCAGGUUUAUGCAUCCGGGGGUUCAAGCUGGAUUAUCGACAGCGAAUGCACAAACCAUAUGACGGGGGAGAAGAAGAUGUUCACCUCCUACGUCAAAAACAAGGAUUCCCAAGAUUCAAUAAUAUUCGGUGAUGGGAAUCAAGACAAGGUAAAAGGGUUAGGUAAAAUUGCUAUUUCAUCCGAGCACUCUAUAUCUAAUGUGCUUUUAGUUGAGUCUCUUGGAUAUAAUCUGUUAUCUGUUAGUCAAUUAUGCAAUAUGGGAUAUAAUUGUCUAUUCACAAAUGUAGAUGUGUCUGUCUUUAGAAGAAGUGAUGGUUCAUUAGCUUUUAAGGGUGUAUUAGACGUCAAACUUUACUUUGUUGAUUUUGCAAAAGAGGAGGCCGGUCUAGAUGCAUGCUUAAUUGCUAAGACUAGCAUGGGCUGGCUGUGGCAUCGCCGCUUAGCACAUGUGGGGAUGAAGAACCUUCACAAGCUCCUAAAGGGAGAACACGUGAUAGGUCUAACUAAUGUGCAAUUCGAAAAAGAUAGACCUUGUGCAGCUUGUCAAGCAGGCAAACAGGUGGGAAGCUCUCAUCACACUAAAAAUGUGAUGACCACAUCAAGACCUUUGGAGAUGCUUCACAUGGACCUCUUCAGACCCGUUGCCUAUCUAAGUAUAGGAGGAAGUAAGUAUGGUCUUGUUAUAGUUGAUGACUUUUCCCGCUUCACUUGGGUAUUCUUUUUGCAGGAUAAAUCUGAAACCCAAGGGACCCUCAAGCGCUUCCUAAGGAGAGCUCAAAACGAGUUUGAGCUCAAGGUGAAAAAGAUAAGGAGCGACAAUGGGUCCGAGUUCAAGAACCUUCAAGUGGAGGAGUACCUUGAGGAGGAAGGGAUCAAGCACGAGUUCUCCGCUCCCUACACACCACAGCAAAAUGGUGUGGUAGAGAGGAAAAACAGGACACUUAUAGACAUGGCGAGGACGAUGCUUGGAGAGUUCAAGACCCCCGAGCGCUUUUGGUCGGAAGCCGUGAACACGGCUUGCCACACCAUCAACAGGGUCUACCUUCAUCGCCUCCUCAAGAAGACGUCGUAUGAGCUACUAACCGGUAACAAACCCAAUGUUUCGUAUUUUCGAGUUUUUGGGAGUAAAUGCUACAUUCUAGUGAAGAAGGGUAGGAAUUCCAAAUUUGCUCCCAAAGCCGUAGAAGGGUUUUUGUUAGGUUAUGACUCAAAUACAAAGGCAUAUAGAGUCUUCAACAAAUCAUCGGGUUUAGUUGAAGUCUCUAGCGACGUUGUAUUUGAUGAGACUAAUGGCUCUCCAAGAGAGCAAGUUGUUGAUUUUGAUGAUGUAGAUGAAGAAGAAGUUCCAACGACCGCAAUACGCACCAUGACGAUUGGAGAUGUGCGGCCACAGGAACAAGAUGAACAAGAUCAACCUUCUUCCUCAACAAUGGUGCAACCCCCAACUCAAGAUGAUGAACAGGAGGCGUGUGAUCAAGGGGGAGCACAAGAUGAUCAUGUGAUGGAGGAAGAAGCACAACCGGCACCUCCAACCCAAGUUCGAGCAAUGUUUCAAAGGGAUCAUCCCGUCGACCAAAUUUUGGGUGAUAUCAGCAAGGGAGUAACUACUCGAUCUCGAUUAGUUAAUUUUUGUGAGCAUUACUCCUUUGUCUCUUCUAUUGAGCCUUUCAGGGUAGAAGAGGCCUUGCUAGAUCCGGACUGGGUGUUGGCCAUGCAGGAGGAGCUCAACAACUUCAAAAGAAAUGAAGUUUGGACACUGGUGCCUCGUCCCAAGCAAAAUGUUGUGGGAACCAAGUGGGUGUUCCGCAACAAACAAGACGAGCACGGGGUGGUGACAAGGAACAAGGCACGACUUGUGGCAAAAGGUUAUGCCCAAGUCGCAGGUUUGGACUUUGAGGAGACUUUUGCUCCUGUGGCUAGGCUAGAGUCCAUUCGUAUCUUGCUAGCAUAUGUCGCUCACCAUUCCUUCAGGUUGUUCCAAAUGGAUGUGAAGAGCGCUUUCCUCAACGGGCCAAUCAAGGAGGAGGUGUACAUGGAGCAACCCCCUGGCUUCGAGGAUGAACGGUACCCCGACCACGUGUGUAAGCUCUCUAAGGCGCUCUAUGGACUUAAGCAAGCCCCUAGAGCAUGGUAUGAAUGCCUUAGAGACUUUCUAAUUGCUAAUGCUUUCAAGGUUGGGAAAGCCGAUCCAACUCUUUUCACUAAGACUUGUGACGGUGAUCUUUUUGUGUGCCAAAUUUAUGUUGAUGACAUAAUAUUUGGUUCUACUAACCAAAAGUCUUGUGAAGAGUUUAGCAGGGUGAUGACUCAGAAAUUCGAGAUGUCGAUGAUGGGCGAGUUAAGCUACUUCCUUGGGUUCCAAGUGAGGCAACUCAAGGAUGGAACCUUCAUCUCCCAAACGAAGUACACACAAGAUUUGAUCAAGCGGUUUGGGAUGAAGGACGCCAAGCCCGCAAAGACUCCGAUGGGAACCGACGGACACACCGACCUCAACAAAGGAGGUAAGUCCGUUGAUCAAAAAGCAUACCGGCCUAUGAUAGGGUCUUUACUUUAUUUAUGUGCUAGUAGACCGGAUAUCAUGCUUAGUGUAUGCAUGUGUGCUAGAUUUCAAUCUGAUCCAAGGGAGUGUCACUUAGUGGCCGUGAAGCGAAUUCUUAGAUAUUUAGUCGCUACGCCUUAUUUCGGGAUCUGGUAUCCAAAGGGGUCUACCUUUGACUUGAUUGGAUAUUCAGACUCCGACUAUGCUGGAUGUAUGGUCGAUAGGAAGAGUACAUCGGGGACGUGCCAAUUCUUAGGAAGGUCCCUGGUGUCAUGGAGUUCUAAGAAACAAACCUCCGUUGCCCUAUCCACCGCUGAGGCCGAGUACGUUGCUGCAGGACAGUGUUGCGCACAACUACUUUGGAUGAGGCAAACCCUCAGGGACUUUGGCUACAAUUUGAGCAAAGUCCCACUCCUAUGUGAUAAUGAGAGUGCUAUCCGCAUGGCGGACAAUCCUGUUGAACACAGCCGCACAAAGCACAUUGACAUCCGGCAUCACUUUUUGAGAGACCACCAGCAAAAGGGAGAUAUCGAAGUGUUUCAUGUUAGCUCCGAGAACCAGCUAGCCGAUAUCUUUACCAAGCCUUUAGAUGAGCAGACCUUUUGCAAGUUGCGUAGUGAGCUAAAUGUCUUAGAUUCGCGGAACUUGGAUUGAUUUAUAGCAUACAUGUGUUUAUGCCUUUGAUCAUGUUCCUUUUGCAUUGUGUUGUUUAUGGUGCUCAAGUUGUACAUGCACUCUCCGGACCUCACAAGUCCUUUGCAAGUGAUGCACAAAUUUAGGGGGAGAUGUGCUACAACUUGACCCUUUGAGACAAACUGUGUGCUUGAGUUUUCCUGAUUUAGUCUCGAAGGAGGAUUGAAAGGGAAAAGGUGGACUUGGACCAUGCAAGUCUUCCACUGCACUCCGAUGAAAGAGUAAUUUAUUCCAAGUUCAUCUUUGUACUCUUAUUGCCUUUUUACUCUUAGUUGAAGAUUUUGGUGAGGCAAUGGGGUUAAAGGGCCAAAAUUGAUCCCGUUUUGGUGCUUGAUGCCAAAGGGGGAGAAAAUAAGGCUAAAGCAAUAAAUGGAUCAGCUACCACUUGAGAAUUUUGAAAAAGUAGAGUUAGAGUUUUUGUUUGUCAAAAUACUCUUGUUUACUUCUUAUUAUCAAAAGUUAGUCUCUUGUGGGGAGAAUGGUUGAUUAUUGGAAAUAGGGGGAGUUUUUGAUACUGUGCUCAAUUUCUAUUGGAACAACUCUCUUUAUGUCUCUACAAGUGUGUUUAACUUAGAGAUAGGAAUUUGAGGUUGAUUUGCAAAAACAAACCAAGUGGUGGCAAAGAAUGAUCCAUAUAUGCCAAAUUUGAUUCAAAACAAAAUUAAGUGCUUACUUGAAUUGAUGUUGUACUUGUUCUACUUGCUUUAUGUUGUGUUGGCAUAAAUCACCAAAAAGGGGGAGAUUGAAAGGGAAAUGUGCCCUUGGGCCAUUUCUAAGUGUUUUGGUGAUUUAGUGUCCAACACAAGUGCCUAAGUGUCAAAUGGUGGACAAAGUACAAAUCAAGUAUAAAGGUAUGUUUCUCAGACUUAGUGCAUUGUUUUAGUGACUAAUGUAUUGUGUCUAAGUGCUGGAAACAGGAGAAAUCGAAUUGGAGAAGAGAUGGCCUUGUUCAGCCAAAGCCAGCUCUGUUUGGGUGCACCGGACAGUGUCCGGUGCGCCAGGCUGGCUCAGGCGAACUUGCUGCUCUCGGGAAGAAAUUAACGGCGUACGGCUAUAAUUCACCGGACUGUCCGGUGUGCACCGGACAGUGUCUGGUGAGCCAACGGUCGCCGAGCCAAUGGUCGGCCGCUUAAUCCGGGCGCGACGCGUGGCCGUGCCAACGGCUAGAAGGGGGCACCGGACUGUCCGGUGUGCACCGGACAGUGUCCGGUGCGCCAACGGCUCCAAGGCUACCAACGGUCGGCUUCGCCAAAUAAGGAAGGAAAUCCGCACCGGACAGUGUCCGGUGGUGCACCGGACUGUCCGGUGCGCUAGGCGACAGAAGGCAAGAAUUGCCUUCCCGGAUCGCUCUCAACAGCUCCUAGCUGCCUUGGGGCUAUAAAAGGGACCCCUAGGCGCAUGGAGGAGAACACCAAGCAUUCCUUGAGCACUCUUGAUCACUCACACUCCAUUCUUACGCACUUGUUCGACAUUCUAGUGAUUUGAGCUCCGUUCUAGUGUGCUAGUCUUUUGAGCUUAAGUCUGGGCCUUGUGUGUGCGUAUUUGCUGUGAUUUUUGUGUCUUGUGUCAGUUGCUAAUCCCUCCCUUACUCUGUGCUUCUUUGUGAACAUAUUUGUAAGGGCAAGAGACUCCAAGUUGUGGAGAUUCCUUGCGAACGGGAUAUAGAAAAGAAAAGCAAACACCGUGGUAUUCAAGUGGGUCUUUGGACCGCUUGAGAGGGGUUGAUUGCAACCCUCGUCCGUUGGGACGCCACAACGUGGAAGUAGGCAAGUGUUGUACUUGGCCGAACCACGGGAUAAACCACUGUGUCUACCUGUGUUGAUUCUCUUGUGGUUAUUGUGUUUCGCUAAGACUCUUCUCUAGCCACUUGGCAAUACUGUGCUAACGCUUAACCAAGUUUUUGUGGCAUUAAGUUCAAGUUUUACAGGAUCACCUAUUCACCCCCCCUCUAGGUGCUCUCAGUCCCCACUCGAGGGGCGAGGACAAGCUAUCAAAGCCAAAGAGCCGGAGGCCCGGAGCGCGGAUGGUGGCGGUGAUCCCGUUGGUGAUGAGGACUUCUUCAGCCGCCACCACCUCAGCGCCGGCGACGGAAGCCAUCUGCCCACCGGCAGAUCCCCACUCGGAUCCUCCCGGACGAGCAAAGCACUGACCUCCGCACAGAGGCGCCGUACCGGGGCAAAGGCAGGACAGCCCCAGAACACGAACGCCGCCCUAGCAGCGCGCGAUGUCUUGGGCGGUCCUCCGAUGCGCGCGGCGCGACAACCGCUCUCGCGGCGGGAGGGGGCACAGGGAGCCGAGCCAGAGCCAGCUGAGCCAGCGAGCCCAACGCGCUGAAGCUGACGACGCUCGCCACCAAUCAGCCCCGCGUUGUCGAAGUCCGACCCUCCCGCUAGGCUGGUGAGCGCCCUCUCCCUUGAAUACUGAGGGAGAAGGUGACCCACAAACCCGCGCGGGAGGUAGAGCUCCGGCUCAGCCCGGCCUCCGCCCCAGCCAGGAUGAUGAAGAUCCUUGAAGCUGAGGACGGGACCAAGAUCGCAGCCCGGCUCGCUUCUCCCCACCAUCGAACUGGUGGUCACCGUCUUGGGUGACCACCGGCGAGGGGAUGCAGUCGGGCUGCCUGAUGAAAAUCCUUGAAGCCGAGCGAUGGCUGAAAGGUACCAACUUCCUUGAAGUUGUGUUCCUCCAAUGAUAAGGCGGAAGAACUGCGAGUGUUCCCCAUCCGGGGGCUCGGAAGGUGGAAAGACGCGAUGCAUAAGGGGAGCGCGAAGAAAUGGUUGCCUUUCGAGGGGGUCACCCUCCUUUUAAAGGCAAUUCUCCCCACUUGCGUCCUCAGCCGUCGCGGGCUGAGUCUUCUCCAACACGCUCCAAGGACCUCCCCCUACGACACGGGGGCUGGGUCCCACGCGUCGCGCAAGCCGGCCCAAGACAGAAGGAGCCAAAACCGCCGCACGCGGUGCGCGUAACUGCCCGGCGGUUACAAGCAUUCCUCCACUUUCGCCCAGACCAGCGAGCGAAAGGGCGGACCGCCAUGCAGGCGACAUGCAACCGCACCAAGGGGGCGCACCCUUUCGACUUCGACGCGUCCAGCAUGGAGGCCCAGGCCCACACGUCAUGUAACCGGCGCGCCGGUUACUACGUGCAAGAAACUGCACCGCCACUACUCGUGCCACUACCGUGCCUCCUCGACUGCGGAACCAGUACCGCGACUCGAGGCAACCCAGCGCAUGACCCAACGGUGCCAACCGAGCACAUCAGCCACGGGUCAGUCAGCCGUGGGAGAAGGCGCGACGGCGGAUACGGCCAGAAAUGGGCCAGCAGUAAUGGCGGUGGCAGGCGGGCGGAAGCAGCAGUCAAGUCGUCAGCAAGCUCACGUCCCCUCCUGGGACAGCGAGAGAACCCUCUCCCACGGCGUGAAGACGACGCACUCGUGUUCCGUCCCUCGAACGGCUCGCGCACGCGCAACGGCCGCCCCGUGAACCACUCGUCCCGUCGCAUUAACUCUGCGGCAGGACGAGCGGCACCUUUGGCGGGCGAAGCAGGCGACGCUUCACCUCCGCCAUAAUGACCGCGUCAAAAAAGGUACGCCACGUCAUUCGAUUUCGUAUCCCUUUCCACUUCCUCUUUCUCUCUCUCUUGCCACAGGGAUCGGGAAAGGGGAUACCCCGAAAGGGAUCCUUCUCUGCGAAGGAAGCGGGCCCCGAGCCCCCCUACUGAUCAGAGAUUCAAAGGCUGGCCCCUCGGAAGGGUUCAACAGCCGCCUCAGAGCACUCGGGCUCCGCGCCCACUAUUGGUCAGAGGUUCGAAGGCCGGCCCCUCGAAAGGGUUCAACGGCCGCCUCAGGCCACUCGGGCUUCGCGCCCACUACUGAUCAGGGGUUCGUAGGCUGGCCCCCGAAGGGUUCGACAGCCGCCUCAGACGCAGAGCGAGGGAUGACCCUGGGUACGUUCGAUACAUAACCAAGGCUCGGGCUACGCUCCCGAAGUACCCUAGGACAUUUCCGAGACCUACGGAAAAGAUCUUGUAACGGAAUCCCACCAGAGGGAGGCAUCGAGCCCUCGGACCCCGUCAAAAGGGGACCGGGUCUGGCAAAUCACCCGCAGGUACUUUUGGAGCGCGCCUCCGGGCCACUAGCCGACCCCUAACGAAUGGGGCACGGGCGUCCACUCGGAUUACCCGUUAGCAGCUCGCUGGAGACACCAUGCCCGGCGCCCUCCAAGGGCAACAUGGCGCUUCCCCCCCCUCCUCCUUGCGGAAAGGCGACGCAGUGGCGUAUGAAAAAAGCCGAGUCUGUCCUUGACCGUCCUCUCGCCCUGUGCGGAGGCUCGGGGGCUGCUCUCGCAAACCCGGCUCCGGCCAAACCGUUGACAGCGUCAACAUACCAGCCCGAGAACUUGGGACUCGAUUGUGCACCCGGGCUACGGCCAGUUCGCAUGAGGGAACAACCAGACUAGCUGAAGCAUCACGAAACACAUUAAGACCUCGAAGGAGUCAAACCACUCCUCCGAGGCCUCGGGGGCUACACCCGGCGGGUGCGCUCGCGCGCACCCACCGGAACAAAACGCAACCGGGAAAGGCCGGUCCCCUUGCAAAAAAGUGCGACAAAAGCCUCCAAGCGAGUAUUAACACUCCCUUCGAGGCUCGGGGGCUACUGUCGGGGACCAUAAUUAGGGGUACCCCCAAGACUCCUAAUCUCAGCUGGUAAGCCCCCAUCAGCACAAACCUGCAAAGGCCUGAUGGGUCCGAUUAAGUCAAGGCUCGGUCCACUCAAGGGACACGAUCUUGCCUCGCCCGAGCCCAGCCUCGGGCAAGGGCAGCCGACCCCGGAGGAUUUACGUCUCGCCCGAGGGCCCCCUCAGGCAACGGACACACCUUCGGCUCGCCCGAGGCCCAGUCUUCGCCAAGAAGCAACCUUGGCCAGAUCGCCACGCCGACCGACCGUAUCGCAGGAGCAUUUAAUGCAAGGAUGGCCUGACACCUUAUCCUGACGCGCGCUCAUCAGUCGACAGAGCCGAAGUGACCGCAGUCACUUCGCCGCUCCACUGACCGACCUGACAAGAAGACAGCGCCGCCUGCAUCGCUCCGACUGCUGUGCCGCUCGACAGAGUGAGGCUGACAGCAGCCAAGUCUGGCCUCGGGCGCCAUAGGAAGCUCCGCCUCGCCCGACCCCAGGGCUCGGACUCGGGCUCGGCCCCGGAAGACGACGAACUCUGCCUCGCCCGACCCCAGGGCUCGGACUCGGGCUCGGCCCCGGAAGACGACGAACUCCGCCUCGCCCGACCCCAGGGCUCGGACUCGGCCUCGGCCCCAGACGACGGUCUCCGCCUUGCCCGACCUGGGGCUCGGACUCGACCUCGACCUCGGAAGACAGACUCGACCCCGACCUCGGAGGAGCCUCCGCCUCGCCCGACCCGGGGCUCGGACUGACCACGUCACAGGAGGGGCCAUCAUUACCCUACCCCUAGCUAGCUCAGGCUACUGGGAACAAAACCGGCGUCCCAUCUGGCUCGCCCCGGUAAACAAAUAAUGAUGGCGCCCCGCAUGCUUCAUGACGACGGCGGCUCUCAGCCCCUUACGGAAGCAAGGAGACGUCAGCAAGGACUCGACAGCCCCGACAGCUGUCCUUCCGCAAGGCUCCAAUGCUCCUCCGACGGCCACGACAUCACAUGAACAGGAUGCCAAAACCUCUCUAGCUGCCACGACGGCAUGUACUUAGGGCGCUAGCUCCUCUCUGCUAGACACGUUAGCACAUUGCUACACUCCCCAUUGUACACCUGGACCCUCUUCUUACGCCUAUAAAAGGAAGGUCCAGGGCUCUCUUACGAGAAGGUUGGCCGCGCGGAAGAGGACGGGACGGCACGUGCACGCCUCUCGCUCCCUCCACGUGGACGCUUGUAACCCCCUACUGCAAGCGCACCCGACCUAGGCGCGGGACAACACGAAGGUCGCGGGUUUCCCCUUUUUACGCCUGUCUCCCUCUAGCUUCCCCCCUUCAUGCUCCGUCUCGUGCCGACCCAUCUGGGCUGGGGCACGCGGCGACAGUUUACUCGUCGGACCAGGGACCCCCCGGGGUCGAAACGCCGACAAGAAUGAUAUUGCUAAAUUUACAGUAUGCACUAUAGAGGAUCCCAGAACAUUGUUGUAUCUGAGGCCUCCAGAAAAUGUCUGCUCAAUUAAUGAACUGGCAGAUCUCUGGGAAACAGAAGAGCAGCUUCUUGAAGGAAUCGAUGGUAAAUUGAAACUACUAAAAGUUAGGUGGUAAUUAUAUUUGUUUUGCUUUUGUUAAAGCCCUAUCGUCGAGUGUGUUUUCUUGAAAUUUAAUCAAUUCAUUUUCAAUUUAAGCUUUAAGCUACUGUCGACAGAUAUAAUGUAGUUCAAGUUUGAUGAAGUUACCGAUGCAGUUUUCUGAUCUGUCCAUUUUAGUUUUUUAUGCGUUCACCUAAAUAACUGUAAGUAUAUUUGAUCAUGGAGUAGAAGCUUGCUGCUAUGUCUAUGGAAAACAGAGCUGGAAAAAGCAGUGAAAAAACUAUUAAAGCUCUCUUUCCUAGUUGCAAAUUGCAAAUCAAUUUCUGAAAGACUUAUGUUUCUUGCAUAAAUCAUCUACUCUCAUUCUUUCUUUCUCCUCAUUGCAGAUGCUCCAUUUCCCUUGAAGAUGGAUUUAAUUUUUAUAUAGUCAAUAUUUGUUAAGAGUGAUCAUACGUAUUUUGAAUUCGACUUGUCAAUGGAAGGAACUCAACCGUAAAUUACACAACAGUGAACGAGUAGUAUUUGACAUCAGAUGUGAACCAGAAGAGGAGAGAAUCAACUCACCAGGAGGCCAAGCCACCGCUCCCAGUCGACAGGCACCAUUACCUCGAGGUCCAUGACCUCAUCCUCCGCGGCCCCAUCGCCAAGAAGAUCCAUCGCCACGAUAUCCUACCUUCUCUUCUUCCCCACCUCAAGCUGCCUCCGAUGUCAUCCACACCCAGUGGUGGAGCGGCGGGGAGGAGCCACCGGAGAAAUAUGGGGAUGUGGUCGCCGAGUAGUCGCGCACAAUGGUGGUCGCCGAGAAGGAGGCGAAGAGGUCGGCGAGGCGGUCGUAGAGGAAGUACGGAUCGAGGUUGAUGGGAUGGGGUCGGGUGGCGGCAGGCCCAAUGCUCACUCAUCUCCCGAGAGGCAGGGGUUUCCGGCGGGCGUCGUAGCGACGUGGCGAUGGGUAGAGAGGGGUCGUCUGGGGAUGCGGUGAGCGCAAGCGGAGGAGGAACCGAGGCACCACUCUGCAACUGGAGGAGAUGACGAGACGGAAGGAGAGUGUGGGUACAGGGGGCGGGGGCGGAGCCAACAGAAGUCUGCUGCAACGUACGUUGACGGGGGCAUGGCGGGCUGGUUAGCGGGGGCUGGGGAGUGGGCGCGGAGCGUGGGGAUGACAAUGAGGCGAAGGUCACAACAGGCGUGGAGCAGGGCGCUGAGGACGAGGGGCCGCGAUGGAGGUCGCGACGGGGGCAGGGGCGGGCAACGCGACGAUGGAGGCUCGGAUGGAAGGCCGACGACGGGCGCGAGGUUGGGCAAGACGGGCGACAGAGAUAUCGCGUGGGCGAGGGGCAAAGGCGGGGCUUAGCAAAUGGGGAAGACGACAUCGAUGGAAAGGAGCGCGGCGUGCGGGCGGGAUGCGGAACCGGCAGAAAUGUAGUCUUCUUUAGCUUUACCAUUCCAGAUAUCAGAAGUUAGAGAAACUGAUGAACAGAUUUAAAUGACUCAAUAAGCAUAAGCACACAUUCAUUGUAAAGCCUAAUUAGAUCUCUAGUUGUGGUUUGCCUAGAAGACUUCACAAAUUUAGGAUUAUGUGCUUUAAUAAUGUACUCUUGAAAAUGAUCAGAUUCACCAAACCAUAAAGGCAAAUCCUCUCUAGCUAUCAAACGACAUAAUUCAGUUCUAGCAACAGCAGGAGAGUACUCCCAUCGAACUAGAGAACCAUCAGGAUUGUACUUAAGAAGAGACUGAACAAUGCCACUACGUUGUUGUUCCUUUUUAGCAGUGCAAUUAUGCCGAAGCAAAUGGCUAGCCCCACAACUAGAUUUAGCAUUGAAGGUCUGCUUACAAUAUUUGCAAAGGGCACCAUACCUUACCCUCUUACCAUUGACGAGAUUAGUCACCUCUUCAAGUCAUUCCAGACUUUGGAUCUCUUCCUUGAUGCAUUAGCACCGGUGCUACCAUCAGUAUCACGACGACUUACUAGCGACUUGUUGUGGCCCACAUCGGC